GGAUUUUUGGAAAGUUUUAUCCACCAGCAUAAUGGUGAACACAAAAUCCAAUUUUACAUGCGGUGACUUGUCAGUUUAUACGAGCAGAUGGUCGUGGCAGGCUUUAAUGAUAUUCUACAAAACUAGAAGCUAUCUAGACUACUUCAACAUUCAUCUGGGUAGAGACGCUUCGUCACAUCAAGCUACGAGAAAGAAUAUCAUCAUCUCACAGAAUUCUACUCGAACACCGCAUCGAAAUCAGACUUUGAAAUGCGGGCGUCAAAAACCAUGAUUGCUCUCUACUUUCUGAUUGCAUUUGCCGUGGCAGCAAGUAUUUCAUCAGUCGAGGAAGAUGAGAUCGACAGUUCUGAUGAGUUGAAUGUCAGUGAGAACACCAAGAACGAUACAGCUGACAUCCAGCUGAAGGGAUGGCCCUAUUAUACAGGAUCACAAAAGUAGC
Molecule: long non-coding RNA, 439 nt
Organism: Strongylocentrotus purpuratus (purple sea urchin)
Lineage: Eukaryota; Metazoa; Echinodermata; Echinoidea; Camarodonta; Strongylocentrotidae
Exons: 3
Source: RefSeq, a predicted model, not a curated record